Molecule: long non-coding RNA, 933 nt
Organism: Oncorhynchus tshawytscha (Chinook salmon)
Lineage: Eukaryota; Metazoa; Chordata; Actinopteri; Salmoniformes; Salmonidae
Source: Ensembl
GUUAUUCUGACUUGAGUGAAUCAUUCCAAUCUCCAUUUACAUUUUUUUUUUAUGUGGCUAUAGUAGACCUAUACCGGUUGUGCACUAGCUUCCAUGAUGCUCUACAGUAAAGUGACAGAAUGACAGAUGGGUUAUUACGUAACUAGACCAACAGUCCAGAAUCUGUUUGCUCCUUUUUUUUUUUUUUUAAACGGCACGACAAAAACUGUUGAGGUCGGCUAAGGCAUAGCCUGUUGUUAAAAUGAUUCCAACUCUGCUAUUUUAUCAAAGCUUUGGGGAUAGAUAGAUAGAAGAGUUGGGUCAAAAUAUGUUUGCCCCUUUAACUGUUGAGGUUGGUAAAAUAGCAUAGGCUGUUUUUCGUGCCAUUCUCAACGCUUUGGGUUAGGGAGUUCUAGACUAUAGAUGGAUAAAAUAGUUUGCUCUCCCGGAGCAAGCAACAGCUCAGAGAAUACAUCUAAAUGAGAAGAUCCUGCCAUGGAAAAGACGACUGGAUGGACAGGAAGUGGAAAGGAGGGGAAAUAACUCCCACCAUGCAGCAGGACACCUUCAGCUCUUCAGAUGGCCAAGGAAGUAGCACAGAACAUCCCCAACAUCCCCUUCCCAAAUUGAUAUAGAACCUUCACAAAAACACAUGGAGCAACAGUGAAAAGAAAUGGCUGAGGAUACACUAAAAAUGUCUGAGUUCAACAAAGCCAACAACUGCUUCAUGUGUGCCACUGAUAAAGAACCUGGAUGUGGCCCAAAGACUGACUGGACUGAAUGUUUUGCCAACGGUGGUUCCAUGUGCUGUGCCUAGGAAUGAAGACAAGAGUUCAGAGUGAAGAACACAAACUGGAAGUGCAGUCUGUUGUUUAAAAUGUAUGCUAUACCCCAUCCACACUGAAGAGGCUCUGACAUGUACAUCAACCAGGGAUAAAGAGGAGGUUAACACUG